UACGUAGGGGGCAAGCGUUGUCCGGAAUUAUUGGGCGUAAAGAGCGCGUAGGCGGUCCGAUAAGUCGGCUGUGAAAGUCAGGGGCUCAACCCUUGGAAGCCGGCCGAUACUGUCGGACUAGAGUCCGGAAGAGGCGAGUGGAAUUCCCGGUGUAGCGGUGAAAUGCGCAGAUAUCGGGAGGAACACCAAUGGCGAAGGCAGCUCGCUAGGACGGUACUGACGCUGAGGCGCGAAAGCGUGGGGAGCAAACAGG
This 253-nucleotide ribosomal RNA is filed under the name uncultured bacterium. RNAcentral describes it as "partial 16S ribosomal RNA". It matches the Rfam family "Bacterial small subunit ribosomal RNA", at positions 524 to 776 of the family's 1533-position model. The record is from RNAcentral.